GGGUUGUGAGGUUAAGCGACUAAGCGUACACGGUGGAUGCCCUGGCAGUCAGAGGCGAUGAAGGACGUGCUAAUCUGCGAUAAGCGUCGGUAAGGUGAUAUGAACCGUUAUAACCGGCGAUUUCCGAAUGGGGAAACCCAGUGUGAUUCGUCACACUAUCAUUAACUGAAUCCAUAGGUUAAUGAGGCGAACCGGGGGAACUGAAACAUCUAAGUACCCCGAGGAAAAGAAAUCAACCGAGAUUCCCCCAGUAGCGGCGAGCGAACGGGGAGCAGCCCAGAGCCUGAAUCAGUGUGUGUGUUAGUGGAAGCGUCUGGAAAGGCACGCGAUACAGGGUGACAGCCCCGUACACAAAAAUGCACAUGCUGUGAGCUCGAUGAGUAGGGCGGGACACGUGGUAUCCUGUCUGAAUAUGGGGGGACCAUCCUCCAAGGCUAAAUACUCCUGACUGACCGAUAGUGAACCAGUACCGUGAGGGAAAGGCGAAAAGAACCCCGGCGAGGGGAGUGAAAAAGAACCUGAAACCGUGUACGUACAAGCAGUGGGAGCACGCUUCGGCGUGUGACUGCGUACCUUUUGUAUAAUGGGUCAGCGACUUAUAUUCUGUAGCAAGGUUAACCGAAUAGGGGAGCCGAAGGGAAACCGAGUCUUAACUGGGCGUUAAGUUGCAGGGUAUAGACCCG
Molecule: ribosomal RNA, 683 nt
Filed under: Escherichia coli
Lineage: Bacteria; Pseudomonadati; Pseudomonadota; Gammaproteobacteria; Enterobacterales; Enterobacteriaceae
Description: partial 23S ribosomal RNA
Rfam family: Bacterial large subunit ribosomal RNA
Source: RNAcentral